RNAcentral lists this long non-coding RNA (214 nucleotides) under Manihot esculenta (cassava). Its description in RNAcentral is "long non-coding RNA (MESC_LNC001600)". Lineage: Eukaryota; Viridiplantae; Streptophyta; Magnoliopsida; Malpighiales; Euphorbiaceae. The record is from RNAcentral.
AUUUAGUUUCUCCAUUUUUAUGUUUAUUAUUAUUUAUUUUAAAGACAUUUUAUUUUAUUCUUUAUUUUUCUUUUCAUGCUUUCAUGAAGUGCAACACAUCACAACUAUAGCACAACAAACAUCUCACUCCCGCUUGAGUUCACGCUAGCAAAUCUCUUCCUCUCGCGGGUGUUUUUAGAGGGUUCACGAAACGUCCUUCCCCUCAGGGUUAGAC